RNAcentral lists this ribosomal RNA (460 nucleotides) under uncultured bacterium. RNAcentral's name for it is "partial 16S ribosomal RNA". It matches the Rfam family "Bacterial small subunit ribosomal RNA", at positions 338 to 795 of the family's 1533-position model. The record is from RNAcentral.
CCUACGGGAGGCAGCAGUGAGGAAUAUUGGUCAAUGGGCGCGAGACUGAACCAGCCAAGUCGCGUGAAGGAUGAAUGCACAGAGGGUUGUAAACUUCUUUUAUCAAGGAAUAAAGUGAGGCACGUGUGCCUUUUUGUAUGUACUUUAUGAAUAAGGAUCGGCUAACUCCGUGCCAGCAGCCGCGGUAAUACGGAGGAUCCGAGCGUUAUCCGGAUUUAUUGGGUUUAAAGGGAGCGUAGAUGGGUUGUUAAGUCAGGUGUGAAAGGUUGCGGCUCAACCGUAAAAGUGCAAUUGAUACUGGCAGUCUUGAGUACAGUUGAGGUAGGCGGAAUGCGUGGUGUAGCGGUGAAAUGCUUAGAUAUCACGCAGAACUCCGAUUGCGAAGGCAGCUUACUAAACUGCCACUGACAUUGAUGCUCGAAAGUGUGGGUAUCAAACAGGAUUAGAUACCCCGGUAGUC